AGUCGAGCGCCCCGCAAGGGGAGCGGCAGACGGGUGAGUAACGCGUGGGAACGUACCAUUUGCUACGGAAUAACUCAUGGAAACUUGUGCUAAUACCGUAUGUGCCCUUCAGGGGAAAGAUUUAUCGGCAAAUGAUCGGCCCGCGUUGGAUUAACUAGUUGGUGGGGUAAAGGCCUACCAAGGCGACGAUCCAUAGCUGGUCUGAGAGGAUGAUCAGCCACACUGGGACUGAGACACGGCCCAGACUCCUACGGGAGGCAGCAGUGGGGAAUAUUGGACAAUGGGCGCAAGCCUGAUCCAGCCAUGCCGCGUGAGUGAUGAAGGCCCUAGGGUUGUAAAGCUCUUUCACCGGUGAAGAUAAUGACGGUAACCGGAGAAUAAGCCCCGGCUAACUUCGUGCCAACAGCCGCGGUAAUACAAAGGGGGCUAGCGUUGUUCGGAUUUACUGGGCGUAAAAGCGCACGUAGGCGGGGCUAAUAAGUCAGGGGGGGAAAUUCCCGGGGCUCAACCCCGGAAACUGCCUUUUGAUACUGUUAGUCUUGGAGUAAUGGUAAAAGGUUGAGUGGAAAUUCCCAAGUGGAAAAGGUGAAAAUUCGUAAGAAUAUUCUUGAGGGAUCCCCCGGUUGGCCAAAGGGGGGUUCCCUUGAACCUUUACUGACCCCCUAAGGUGGCAAAA
This 676-nucleotide ribosomal RNA is filed under the name Brucella intermedia. Its description in RNAcentral is "bacterial SSU rRNA". It matches the Rfam family "Bacterial small subunit ribosomal RNA", at positions 60 to 758 of the family's 1533-position model. The record is from RNAcentral. Lineage: Bacteria; Pseudomonadati; Pseudomonadota; Alphaproteobacteria; Hyphomicrobiales; Brucellaceae.